UACGUAGGGGGCAAGCGUUGUCCGGAAUCAUUGGGCGUAAAGCGCACGUAGGCGGUUCAGCAAGUCGGGUGUGAAAGCCCUUGGCUUAACCAAGGAAGUGCAUUCGAAACUACUGGACUUGAAUACUGGAGAGGAUCGCGGAAUUCCCGGUGUAGAGGUGAAAUGCGUAGAUAUCGAGAGGAACACCAGUGGCGAAGGCGAGUCUCUGGACAUUUCCUGACGCUGAGGCACGAAAGCCAGGGGAGCAAACGGG
This 253-nucleotide ribosomal RNA is filed under the name uncultured bacterium. RNAcentral's name for it is "partial 16S ribosomal RNA". It matches the Rfam family "Bacterial small subunit ribosomal RNA", at positions 524 to 776 of the family's 1533-position model. The record is from RNAcentral.